ACAGCCAUACCAUGCUGAAUAUACCGGUUCUCGUUAGAUCACCGAAGUCAAGCAUCAUUGGGCGCGGUCAGUACUUGGGUGGGUGACCACCUGGGAACACCGCGUGCCGUU
Molecule: ribosomal RNA, 111 nt
Filed under: Caerostris extrusa
Lineage: Eukaryota; Metazoa; Arthropoda; Arachnida; Araneae; Araneidae
Also listed under: 1 other name
Source: RNAcentral